GUGGUGGCACAGAAUCGGAGGCCCCGACUGUUUACUUAAAACACAGCUUUCUGCGACGAAUAAUAUCUUUGUAUAGAAAGCGAAUUUUGCCCAAUGCCAUUAAUAUAAGGUCGAUAAGCGCUUAGCGUAAUUAUUGGCUGAAGUUCUGGUCAAUGGCGGUCUUAUCUAUGAGGAUCCUAAGGUAGCAAAAUUAAUUGUCCAUUAAAUGUGGUCCUGACUGAAUAAAGUAACGAUGGUCUUCGCUGUCUCUACAAGUAUCUCAGUGAAAUUGAAUUAGCCGUGCA
Molecule: ribosomal RNA, 284 nt
Filed under: Tulasnella calospora
Lineage: Eukaryota; Fungi; Basidiomycota; Agaricomycetes; Cantharellales; Tulasnellaceae
Description: partial large subunit ribosomal RNA
Rfam family: Bacterial large subunit ribosomal RNA
Source: RNAcentral